Molecule: ribosomal RNA, 586 nt
Filed under: uncultured bacterium
Lineage: Bacteria
Description: bacterial SSU rRNA
Rfam family: Bacterial small subunit ribosomal RNA
Source: RNAcentral
CCUACGGGAGGCAGCAGUGGGGAAUUUUGGACAAUGGGCGCAAGCCUGAUCCAGCCAUGCCGCGUGCGGGAAGAAGGCCUUCGGGUUGUAAACCGCUUUUGUCAGGGAAGAAACGCUCUGAAUUAAUACCUCGGGGUAAUGACGGUACCUGAAGAAUAAGCACCGGCUAACUACGUGCCAGCAGCCGCGGUAAUACGUAGGGUGCAAGCGUUAAUCGGAAUUACUGGGCGUAAAGCGUGCGCAGGCGGUUAUGCAAGACAGAUGUGAAAUCCCCGGGCUCAACCUGGGAACUGCAUUUGUGACUGCAUAGCUAGAGUACGGUAGAGGGGGAUGGAAUUCCGCGUGUAGCAGUGAAAUGCGUAGAUAUGCGGAGGAACACCGAUGGCGAAGGCAAUCCCCUGGACCUGUACUGACGCUCAUGCACGAAAGCGUGGGGAGCAAACAGGAUUAGAUACCCUGGUAGUCCACGCCCUAAACGAUGUCAACUGGUUGUUGGACGGCUUGCUGUUCAGUAACGAAGCUAACGCGUGAAGUUGACCGCCUGGGGAGUACGGCCCGCAAGGUUGAAACUUAAAGGAAUUGACGG